GGUUAAGCGACUAAGCGUACACGGUGGAUGCCCUGGCAGUCAGAGGCGAUGAAGGACGUGCUAAUCUGCGAUAAGCGUCGGUAAGGUGAUAUGAACCGUUAUAACCGGCGAUUUCCGAAUGGGGAAACCCAGUGUGUUUCGACACACUAUCAUUAACUGAAUCCAUAGGUUAAUGAGGCGAACCGGGGGAACUGAAACAUCUAAGUACCCCGAGGAAAAGAAAUCAACCGAGAUUCCCCCAGUAGCGGCGAGCGAACGGGGAGCAGCCCAGAGCCUGAAUCAGUGUGUGUGUUAGUGGAAGCGUCUGGAAAGGCGCGCGAUACAGGGUGACAGCCCCGUACACAAAAAUGCACAUGCUGUGAGCUCGAUGAGUAGGGCGGGACACGUGGUAUCCUGUCUGAAUAUGGGGGGACCAUCCUCCAAGGCUAAAUACUCCUGACUGACCGAUAGUGAACCAGUACCGUGAGGGAAAGGCGAAAAGAACCCCGGCGAGGGGAGUGAAAAAGAACCUGAAACCGUGUACGUACAAGCAGUGGGAGCACGCUUAGGCGUGUGACUGCGUACCUUUUGUAUAAUGGGUCAGCGACUUAUAUUCUGUAGCAAGGUUAACCGAAUAGGGGAGCCGAAGGGAAACCGAGUCUUAACUGGGCGUUAAGUUGCAGGGUAUAGACCCGAAACCCGGUGAUCUAGCCAUGGGCAGGUUGAAGGUUGGGUAACACUAACUGGAGGACCGAACCGACUAAUGUUGAAAAAUUAGCGGAUGACUUGUGGCUGGGGGUGAAAGGCCAAUCAAACCGGGAGAUAGCUGGUUCUCCCCGAAAGCUAUUUAGGUAGCGCCUCGUGAAUUCAUCUCCGGGGGUAGAGCACUGUUUCGGCAAGGGGGUCAUCCCGACUUACCAACCCGAUGCAAACUGCGAAUACCGGAGAAUGUUAUCACGGGAGACACACGGCGGGUGCUAACGUCCGUCGUGAAGAGGGAAACAACCCAGACCGCCAGCUAAGGUCCCAAAGUCAUGGUUAAGUGGGAAACGAUGUGGGAAGGCCCAGACAGCCAGGAUGUUGGCUUAGAAGCAGCCAUCAUUUAAAGAAAGCGUAAUAGCUCACUGGUCGAGUCGGCCUGCGCGGAAGAUGUAACGGGGCUAAACCAUGCACCGAAGCUGCGGCAGCGACACUAUGUGUUGUUGGGUAGGGGAGCGUUCUGUAAGCCUGUGAAGGUGUGCUGUGAGGCAUGCUGGAGGUAUCAGAAGUGCGAAUGCUGACAUAAGUAACGAUAAAGCGGGUGAAAAGCCCGCUCGCCGGAAGACCAAGGGUUCCUGUCCAACGUUAAUCGGGGCAGGGUGAGUCGACCCCUAAGGCGAGGCCGAAAGGCGUAGUCGAUGGGAAACAGGUUAAUAUUCCUGUACUUGGUGUUACUGCGAAGGGGGGACGGAGAAGGCUAUGUUGGCCGGGCGACGGUUGUCCCGGUUUAAGCGUGUAGGCUGGUUUUCCAGGCAAAUCCGGAAAAUCAAGGCUGAGGCGUGAUGACGAGGCACUACGGUGCUGAAGCAACAAAUGCCCUGCUUCCAGGAAAAGCCUCUAAGCAUCAGGUAACAUCAAAUCGUACCCCAAACCGACACAGGUGGUCAGGUAGAGAAUACCAAGGCGCUUGAGAGAACUCGGGUGAAGGAACUAGGCAAAAUGGUGCCGUAACUUCGGGAGAAGGCACGCUGAUAUGUAGGUGAAGUCCCUUGCGGAUGGAGCUGAAAUCAGUCGAAGAUACCAGCUGGCUGCAACUGUUUAUUAAAAACACAGCACUGUGCAAACACGAAAGUGGACGUAUACGGUGUGACGCCUGCCCGGUGCCGGAAGGUUAAUUGAUGGGGUCAGCGCAAGCGAAGCUCUUGAUCGAAGCCCCGGUAAACGGCGGUACGUAACUAUAACGGUCCUAAGGUAGCGAAAUUCCUUGUCGGGUAAGUUCCGACCUGCACGAAUGGCGUAAUGAUGGCCAGGCUGUCUCCACCCGAGACUCAGUGAAAUUGAACUCGCUGUGAAGAUGCAGUGUACCCGCGGCAAGACGGAAAGACCCCGUGAACCUUUACUAUAGCUUGACACUGAACAUUGAGCCUUGAUGUGUAGGAUAGGUGGGAGGCUUUGAAGUGUGGACGCCAGUCUGCAUGGAGCCGACCUUGAAAUACCACCCUUUAAUGUUUGAUGUUCUAACGUUGACCCGUAAUCCGGGUUGCGGACAGUGUCUGGUGGGUAGUUUGACUGGGGCGGUCUCCUCCUAAAGAGUAACGGAGGAGCACGAAGGUUGGCUAAUCCUGGUCGGACAUCAGGAGGUUAGUGCAAUGGCAUAAGCCAGCUUGACUGCGAGCGUGACGGCGCGAGCAGGUGCGAAAGCAGGUCAUAGUGAUCCGGUGGUUCUGAAUGGAAGGGCCAUCGCUCAACGGAUAAAAGGUACUCCGGGGAUAACAGGCUGAUACCGCCCAAGAGUUCAUAUCGACGGCGGUGUUUGGCACCUCGAUGUCGGCUCAUCACAUCCUGGGGCUGAAGUAGGUCCCAAGGGUAUGGCUGUUCGCCAUUUAAAGUGGUACGCGAGCUGGGUUUAGAACGUCGUGAGACAGUUCGGUCCCUAUCUGCCGUGGGCGCUGGAGAACUGAGGGGGCUGCUCCUAGUACGAGAGGACCGGAGUGGACGCAUCACUGGUGUUCGGGUUGUCAUGCCAAUGGCACUGCCCGGUAGCUAAAUGCGGAAGAGAUAAGUGCUGAAAGCAUCUAAGCACGAAACUUGCCCCGAGAUGAGUUCUCCCUGACUCCUUGAGAGUCCUGAAGGAACGUUGAAGACGACGACGUUGAUAGGCCGGGUGUGUAAGCGCAGCGAUGCGUUGAGCUAACCGGUACUAAUGAACCGUGAGGCUUAACCUU
This 2903-nucleotide ribosomal RNA is filed under the name Escherichia coli. RNAcentral's name for it is "23S ribosomal RNA". It matches the Rfam family "Bacterial large subunit ribosomal RNA". Lineage: Bacteria; Pseudomonadati; Pseudomonadota; Gammaproteobacteria; Enterobacterales; Enterobacteriaceae. The record is from RNAcentral.